RNAcentral lists this ribosomal RNA (253 nucleotides) under uncultured bacterium. Its description in RNAcentral is "partial 16S ribosomal RNA". It matches the Rfam family "Bacterial small subunit ribosomal RNA", at positions 524 to 776 of the family's 1533-position model. The record is from RNAcentral.
UACGGAGGGUGCGAGCGUUAAUCGGAAUUACUGGGCGUAAAGCGCGCGUAGGCGGUUCGAUAAGUCAGAUGUGAAAUCCCCGGGCUCAACCUGGGAAUGGCAUUUGAUACUGUCAGACUGGAGUGUGGUAGAGGGAAGUGGAAUUCCGCAUGUAGCGGUGAAAUGCGUAGAUAUGCGGAGGAACACUAGUGGCGAAAGCGGCUUCCUGGACCAACACUGACGCUGAGGUGCGAAAGCGUGGGGAGCAAACAGG